GCCCCAGGUCCGCAGGUCGUCCAGUCGUGAACCGCGUCAGGCCCGGCAGGGAGCAGCGCUAAGCGAUGUUGGGCGUAGUUGCGGGAUGCCUGGGGCAUU
RNAcentral lists this signal recognition particle RNA (99 nucleotides) under Gemmatimonadota bacterium. RNAcentral describes it as "Gemmatimonadetes bacterium signal recognition particle sRNA small type". It matches the Rfam family "Bacterial small signal recognition particle RNA". From Rfam's summary of the family: The signal recognition particle (SRP) is a universally conserved ribonucleoprotein involved in the co-translational targeting of proteins to membranes. The record is from RNAcentral. Lineage: Bacteria; Pseudomonadati; Gemmatimonadota.